Molecule: ribosomal RNA, 1283 nt
Filed under: Staphylococcus aureus
Lineage: Bacteria; Bacillati; Bacillota; Bacilli; Caryophanales; Staphylococcaceae
Description: bacterial SSU rRNA
Rfam family: Bacterial small subunit ribosomal RNA
Source: RNAcentral
UUUAUGGAGAGUUUGAUCCUGGCUCAGGAUGAACGCUGGCGGCGUGCCUAAUACAUGCAAGUCGAGCGAACGGACGAGAAGCUUGCUUCUCUGAUGUUAGCGGCGGACGGGUGAGUAACACGUGGAUAACCUACCUAUAAGACUGGGAUAACUUCGGGAAACCGGAGCUAAUACCGGAUAAUAUUUUGAACCGCAUGGUUCAAAAGUGAAAGACGGUCUUGCUGUCACUUAUAGAUGGAUCCGCGCUGCAUUAGCUAGUUGGUAAGGUAACGGCUUACCAAGGCAACGAUGCAUAGCCGACCUGAGAGGGUGAUCGGCCACACUGGAACUGAGACACGGUCCAGACUCCUACGGGAGGCAGCAGUAGGGAAUCUUCCGCAAUGGGCGAAAGCCUGACGGAGCAACGCCGCGUGAGUGAUGAAGGUCUUCGGAUCGUAAAACUCUGUUAUUAGGGAAGAACAUAUGUGUAAGUAACUGUGCACAUCUUGACGGUACCUAAUCAGAAAGCCACGGCUAACUACGUGCCAGCAGCCGCGGUAAUACGUAGGUGGCAAGCGUUAUCCGGAAUUAUUGGGCGUAAAGCGCGCGUAGGCGGUUUUUUAAGUCUGAUGUGAAAGCCCACGGCUCAACCGUGGAGGGUCAUUGGAAACUGGAAAACUUGAGUGCAGAAGAGGAAAGUGGAAUUCCAUGUGUAGCGGUGAAAUGCGCAGAGAUAUGGAGGAACACCAGUGGCGAAGGCGACUUUCUGGUCUGUAACUGACGCUGAUGUGCGAAAGCGUGGGGAUCAAACAGGAUUAGAUACCCUGGUAGUCCACGCCGUAAACGAUGAGUGCUAAGUGUUAGGGGGUUUCCGCCCCUUAGUGCUGCAGCUAACGCAUUAAGCACUCCGCCUGGGGAGUACGACCGCAAGGUUGAAACUCAAAGGAAUUGACGGGGACCCGCACAAGCGGUGGAGCAUGUGGUUUAAUUCGAAGCAACGCGAAGAACCUUACCAAAUCUUGACAUCCUUUGACAACUCUAGAGAUAGAGCCUUCCCCUUCGGGGGACAAAGUGACAGGUGGUGCAUGGUUGUCGUCAGCUCGUGUCGUGAGAUGUUGGGUUAAGUCCCGCAACGAGCGCAACCCUUAAGCUUAGUUGCCAUCAUUAAGUUGGGCACUCUAAGUUGACUGCCGGUGACAAACCGGAGGAAGGUGGGGAUGACGUCAAAUCAUCAUGCCCCUUAUGAUUUGGGCUACACACGUGCUACAAUGGACAAUACAAAGGGCAGCGAAACCGCGAGGUCA